RNAcentral lists this ribosomal RNA (945 nucleotides) under uncultured Bacteroidota bacterium. RNAcentral's name for it is "bacterial SSU rRNA". It matches the Rfam family "Bacterial small subunit ribosomal RNA", at positions 56 to 1001 of the family's 1533-position model. The record is from RNAcentral. Lineage: Bacteria; Pseudomonadati; Bacteroidota.
UGCAAGUCGGACGGGAUUGGAGAGCUUGCUUUCCAUGAGAGUGGCGCACGGGUGCGUAACACGUAUGCAACCUACCCUUGUCAGGGGGAUAGCCUCUCGAAAGAGAGAUUAAGCCCGCAUAACAUGUUGAAGUGGCAUCAUUUUAACAUCAAAUAUUUAUAGGACAAGGAUGGGCAUGCGGAACAUUAGCUAGUUGGUAAGGUAACGGCUUACCAAGGCUACGAUGUUUAGGGGAUCUGAGAGGAUGGCCCCCCACACUGGUACUGAGACACGGACCAGACUCCUACGGGAGGCAGCAGUAAGGAAUAUUGGUCAAUGGGCGGAAGCCUGAACCAGCCAUGCCGCGUGCAGGAAGACGGCCCUAUGGGUUGUAAACUGCUUUUGCAGGGGAAUAAAUCUUCGUAUGUAUACGAAGUUGAAUGUACUCUGAGAAUAAGGAUCGGCUAACUCCGUGCCAGCAGCCGCGGUAAUACGGAGGAUCCGAGCGUUAUCCGGAUUUAUUGGGUUUAAAGGGUGCGUAGGCGGCCUAUUAAGUCAGGGGUGAAAGACGGUAGCUUAACUAUCGCAGUGCCCUUGAUACUGAUGGGCUUGAAUGUAGUUGAGGUAGGCGGAAUGUGACAAGUAGCGGUGAAAUGCAUAGAUAUGUCACAGAACACCGAUUGCGAAGGCAGCUUACUAAAGUAUGAUUGACGCUGAGGCACGAAAGCGUGGGGAUCAAACAGGAUUAGAUACCCUGGUAGUCCACGCCCUAAACGAUGAACACUCGAUGUUGGCGAUAUACAGUCAGCGUCAAAGCGAAAGCGUUAAGUGUUCCACCUGGGGAGUACGCCCGCAAGGGUGAAACUCAAAGGAAUUGACGGGGGCCCGCACAAGCGGAGGAGCAUGUGGUUUAAUUCGAUGAUACGCGAGGAACCUUACCCGGGCUUGAAAGUUAGUGAAUGAUUC